UAAAAGGGUGUCCGCCGUACUGAGUGGCGCGCGGUUCGCCGUGGGGGAUGGCCCUCAAGACAUACCCGACACGCAAUUUUUAGUACCCGGGGGAAGUUCGAUGCUUACGCUCGGACGCCCUC
Small nuclear RNA from Scylla paramamosain (green mud crab), 122 nucleotides. RefSeq annotates it as U11 spliceosomal RNA. The transcript has a single exon. The record is from RefSeq and is a predicted model, not a curated record. Lineage: Eukaryota; Metazoa; Arthropoda; Malacostraca; Decapoda; Portunidae.